UUCUUCGUCCAGUCUGCACGAGCAAAAAUUAUCGUUGGAGAAAACAAACAAACAAACAAACAAAAAGCAAGCAGAGCGUGAGCGUCUCCCACAAAGCAGAGGCAAACGGUUUGCCAUGCUUUCUGGGCUGGUAUAGAACUUAUGAGCACAGGCAUGCUUCCUACCUCAAUCUCCUGAGUAGCUGGAUCUGAAGAAUUGCCUUUGGUUCCUUACAUAGGAGUAUUACAUCAUUUGAACCCACAUGGCUGAGGGGUAAUGCCACCCCUGGCCAGGCGGUCCUGGACUUUAUAAGAGAGGACACCGGACAAGUCAGGAGGAGCAAGUCAGUAAGCAGCUCCACCAUGGCCUUCCCUUUAUUUCCCCAAACCCCUGGGUUUCUUCCUUGAGUCCUGCCUUGGCUUCCUACAAUGAAGAACAGCGAGAUGUAAGAUGAAAUAAACCUUUUUCUCCAA
Molecule: long non-coding RNA, 452 nt
Organism: Mesocricetus auratus (golden hamster)
Lineage: Eukaryota; Metazoa; Chordata; Mammalia; Rodentia; Cricetidae
Exons: 3
Source: RefSeq, a predicted model, not a curated record